Chinchilla lanigera (long-tailed chinchilla) is the source of this 6254-nucleotide long non-coding RNA. RefSeq lists it as uncharacterized. The transcript is spliced from 2 exons. NCBI's taxonomy places the organism in Eukaryota, Metazoa, Chordata, Mammalia, Rodentia, Chinchillidae. The record is from RefSeq and is a predicted model, not a curated record.
GCACUGUCUCCUCCAGCUCCGGCACACUGCAGGGCACAGGGGAGUGGCAGAGGUGGUUCCAGGAUGUGCUGCUUGGCCCAGGUUGCUGAUCCUGCCUUUCCAGCAUAUAUCCUGGGCAUCUGAACAUGGGGUCAGGGUCUGGCCUGAGCAGGGUCAAGGUCAGAGUCUGAACUCCCACUCCACCCCUGGGGGUGACCGUGGACACGGCCCAGCUCGUCUGUGAGGGGGACACAAUGGUAAUCGCACAUGACAGUGUAGACAUGAGGCAGACCACCCUUGAGCCGGGCUGGCCUUGUUGCUGCCGGGCCAAGGGGGCAGAACCUUGAGUUUCUCCCUGCACUGGUCCCUGGGCACUUGGGCAUUGAUUCCACUUGCAUUUUACACGGGUCUGAGAGGGAUAGACAGUGAACACCCCGUGUGUGUAUACGUGUAUGUGCGUGUGCAUGUUUGCACAGAAAGAAGGUAUGGGGGGGACCAAGGGAACAUUCACAUCACGCAGUAUGGUCUCUGAUCUUCUAUUCCCCACCAUUGUCUUACAAAAGUUCCCAGUGCAGCCAAGUUGAAGCAUUUCCUCCUGAGCCCGUCAGCCUCCCCUCAGUGUCACCCGGGCCAUUCCUGUCCUCUGCGUCAGAGCUCCAGGCUGACUGUGAAAACAAGGGGCAGCCAGCAAGGGGCUCUGUCAGCACAGCAGUGUGGUGUCCAUGGGGAAGUUUCCCUAAGGACAGGGCGGUGCGCCAGCCCCUAGCCAGCAAGCAGGGCUUUGGCUCCUCUGCGGAAGUGAGGGGGCUGUUGCUUCCCCAGGGCCUUCUCUAAGCCCCGAGGCCACAGACGAUACUGCCCCCUCCCGGGGAGACCAUGGCAGCCAGGGCCCUGCUCCUCCAUGGCACGGGGCUGACUCUGUUUGACUGUACCCCCAGGCCCCUGCCAAGCUGGAGCUGAGCCAGGGAGGCAAAGCACCCCAGCUGUGGGAUCCUCCACCUUCCAAACCACGUCCACUCACCCACCACCCCUCGGCCUCUGCGGUGCUGCCUUCAGCCGCCCCAGAGUCCUGUGGGCCCCCUCGUCGUGAAUGUGUGUUGUCCCAAGAACCUGGGCCUUUCCCUGGGCCCCAGGGAACGUGCAGGGGAUUAGGCGGGCAGCCCAGCUUCCAGACCACGCUACCAGGCCCACAGGGCCUGUGGGAUGCCUCAGCAGGGCUAGGCACCCAGAGGGGCAGUGCCUAGUGGGCAGGGAGCCGAGCAUGCUCAUCACUCCUCCAAAGCACUAUCCCAGGAAGGGGGAGGAGACCCUUCUUCACCCUUCUUGGGGGGUCUAGGACCUGUUGGUCUCCGCUUGGCUCCCUCCCUCUGGCCAGGGCACGCUCAGGGCUGGCUGUGCCCGGAGGAGGCGGCGUGGGCGUGCUCCCAGGCGGGGUGGGUGGAGGGAAGAGGGAUGUGGCAGCGUGGUGCACUGGAGUUCACAUUCCUCUGCAGGUCAGCAGCCUUCUUAGUUGUCUGCUUCCUGUUUGUGGCGCUCUUGUUAAACAUCACUGGGCAGAUUCCUUCAUCCCACCCUCCUCCUUCCAUCCCGCCCUGGCCCUCCCUCCGGUGCCUCCCUUGAACCUUUUUGAGGAGCCUUCAUUGUGAAAGCAUCUGCAGUAAGCGAGAGCCAUCCUGUACCAGGGGAGGAAAGGCUGUGGCGGGCUGCAGGGUGGCAGGGGCUCCGGUCCCGUGCUCGGAGGCCCCUCAGCGUGGGAAGCGAUGGGGUCAGGACUACACCCUGCAGAGCAAGCUGGGCCGGGCCAGACAGGCAGGGUCCUUUGGGUGUGCUUGUGGCAGCCCCUGCCUGGGUUGCAGGUCAGGUGCCAGCAGGGCUGGGCAGGGGUUGCAGAGCUAGAUGACGGGCAGCGUUUGACUCUCACUGCGUGGGGAUGUGGGCCCUGGGUCCCUUCUGUCUCACUCUGAUUAAAAACACUGUCUCGGUGAAAUAGCCUGUGCUGGGGCAGCCAGCAGUCAGAGGCCGGAGGAAGGGCCAAGAAGCCUGCAUUUCCGGCACUGCUCCCCACAGAGCCCUCGUGCUAUCGGGACCCCGCAGUGGCUGUGCUGGAGAAAGGGCAGCCAGAGGAAGGUACUGGGCAUUGAUGAGGCCCCUGCCCGUGCGGCUGGGUCACCACGUCCUGAGAGCCCUGAGCUCUGCGUUGCUCGCUCCGGAAGAGGAGGAGACAAAUGUGCAUGAAGCUUUCUCCUCUGAAACCCUUCAGCCUGCGCCAGACCCGCCAGCCACCGGGUACAUGGUAGGCGCCUCCUCCAUGGGGCUCCUCAUGGGCCACUCAGGGGAGACUCCUGAGUGCGGCUUUAGCAUAGCGUGUUCGGAGCUGGGCCUGGCACAGAAAGCCCCGGGCCCUGCAUCCUCCCACACACCCUUCCCACCGAGUGACCAUGCAGCUGCCAAAGCACAGAGCUUUAAGCACUCGCUAGGUGGAGGCCAGGGCCACAGUGCCCCCCAGGACCACAGUAAUGCCCAUCUUGCUCAUGGGUGCCUCCUUCAUGCCAGGGGCCCAGCACUUUUCUUGUGAGUAGGAGCUUGGUCUUACUACAGGGUCACUAGAGGUUGCAGAUCCUGCUGAUUGUCACUUAGGGUGAUCAGCUCUUGGGAAUCUUUAAUAAGCUUUUAAAUUAUUAUCAGUCACAACUUCAUGGACUCUAGGCAGAUGGGACCCAAAUGAAAGGGAAUUGUAGAAUCAUGCCCAGAGGUGUGGACCCAUAGGGACCUUGGUUCACUCCUCGGCCAGCCCUCAAAGUGAGGAGUCCAGUAAGCCCCUGAAAGUGCUGUCGCCUACCCCUGCAUUGUCCCCACGGCCCUCAGCACAGGUCAUCCUUUACAGGAGGAGCUGCGGCUCAGUGUGCGCGGUACAGCCUGUCUGGUAAGUGUCAGAGCUAGGGUUCAACCUAGAGCGCUCACUCCUGACCACUCUGCCAGAGGCCCUCUGUACAGAAACUGGACAGGAAGGAUUGCCACCAAGUCUUGGCCACCACUGCAGCUACCACUGGUGCCACCACCAGCACUUUACCCACCUCUCCACGGCCACACGUGGUACUGUCCCAUUCCACAGGGCAGGGGGUGGAUGCUCCUUGCUCACGGUGGCAGUCAGUGGUGGCCAGUGUCUUAAUCUGCCCCUGGUCCCUAGGGAGGCUGCUGUGGACGCAGAACCCCUCUCUAGGGGGCUCCCACCCAUUCCCAGGACUCAGGUUCCAGCAGAAUCCUGCACCAUGUGUGGAGACAGCAGGCAGGCUCAGUCACUCUAUGUCCCGGACAGCUGGCAUUCUUCAUUCCUCCACCAGGAUUUUGGUGCUACUGACAGAACCCUGCCGUGUCAGAGUUUCUGUUGGAUGCUGGCGUGGAGUUGGAGGUGAUGCGGAGUCUAUGCUGUCCACAGACAGUACUUUGCAUGCCCCCUCACCAGCUUGGGAGGACAGGGAGCCAGGCCAGGGCUGUGGGCCCUUGCUUGUCCAGGUCAGAGCUAGGAAGCCUAUGGUACAUGCGGUUGCCUGCUGGUCCCUCCUCGCCCAGCAGGCCUGGUAUCACUGGCCAUCUUCCUUUCGCCAGCCUUCCUGUACCAAGUACCUGCUCUUCCACGUACAAGCCUUUGUCCCGGUGUCAGACACAGCUCUAGCUUUUGGGUGCCCGGCUCCAUGAAUUCGCUGUGGAUUGUCUGUGUCCACAGUGCUGUGUGCACCCAGCCCCCAGAGCCCCUGCUCCCUUGCAGCUCAGGCUGGGGGCCCACAGCAGGCAUCCCUGUGCCAGGUCAGAGGCUGGCAGUCCAAGUUCACAGGGGCUGGCAGGGCUGGUUUGACGGAGGCCUUUCUCCUUGGCUUGUGGAUGCCACACUCUCCUUGUGUCUGCAUGUGGUCUCCUGUGUGUGCCUGUGUCCUCGUCUGUUCUAACAAGGGUACCCGUCACCUAUGGGAUUAGGACUCACCAUGAUAGCCUCGUGUUAACUUCCCUUCUUGUAAGACCACAGCCUCACUGUGAGGUCCUGGAGGCUGGUACCUCUGCCUGUGAAGGUGGGGAUGCGUUCAGUUCGUCACAGUGAGAAGGGUGACAUUAUGCAGAUGGUCUCCCACCUGCUUCUGAGCCACAUUUGUGGGCCACAUUUGUGCUGUGUGGUACCCGAGGUCUUAUUGCGGAGCCCCCGGCUAAGGCUGGCAUCAAAGCGACUUACAGGGGGCACUGCUCUGGACGGUGAAGACAUGUGAGGCCUCUGUGUUCCUAGAACAUGCCCGUGUAGGCCCACACAUAGCAUAAAGGGCACAGCAGUGCUGUGAGGGCCAUUCCUGCAGGCCAUGAGUGUCACCUCAGCCUCAGUCCACCAGUGUGGAUUCCCGUGUCUGUGAGUUAAAGCCUCAUCUCUAAGACUGUGACAGGAUUCUGCCUGUCCUUAGGCUGAGGACCACGGACUUAAGUCCCCUCCCGCACAUUACAGGGAAGGAGCCUGGGCUUAGAGACCCAGGCAUGAGAGGGGCACCUCAGCUGCAGCUGGGCCUGACACCCCAGGACUGUUGACACGUCAGUUCAGUCCUGACACCCGAGACUGUCGGCCUUGCCUUGCCCUGGCUCCCUCUGGUAGGUGGAGGAACCAGCUGUCCAGUAAGAUACCCUGUCCUGGCACUUCCUCCCACCCAGAACAGCAGGCCUCUAGCGCCACCACCUUGCUCAGGCCCACCCCCAUGCAAGCCAGCUUCCCUGCGGGCAGGCCGUACACAGGGCCAGGGUUCUGCAUUUGCUUGCUCGAUGCUUGUUCCUGCCACCACCAGCUAGGAGAACUGGGCCUCCAGGACUCUAUGGAGGAGUUGCAUGCGUAGGCCUGGGUCACAGCCUUUGUCUGAGGUCAGCAGCAGCAUUUCCUGUCUUCAGCCACAGCAGGCGCAGAGUUGGGUGGAUGGCUGCAUUUGGUGUAGACCUGCAGCCCCCACAUACAAGGAAUGGUGUCUUCUGUAUUUUGUUUGAAAGAAGAAGAGUUUAAACAACUGCCUGCAUUAAAAUCCCUGCCUGGCCGUGGCUGCACCACCGUGAAUCAGGCCACCUUCCCCACACGUUCACCUUCCUGGGCCCACUUUGCAGGGUGUCCUGGGCGUCCAGCUGGUAUAGUGUGUGACAGUCCAGUCUCAAGUGCCCAGCAUGUGCCUGGUGCCUAGAAGGUGAGGUGGCCCCCUUGCCUGGCCUGUUUGCCCCUGGAAGCCUGGUGGUGCAGGGCCAAGGCCUGGCACAUCUGCAGAGGCGCCACCACUCAGCUGCACACCAGUGUUGCUGGGCUCUAGUGGCCACAGUGUCACCACAUCAUCCAGUGUUUCAAGAGAGACUAGCAACGUGGAUUAUUUUUACGCGACAGCUUCUCAGACAUGGGCCACCAGGUGUGGCCCCGUGCUGGUGCCAGGCCUGUGAUACACUGCCCCUUUCUCUACUGCAACCUAUAGGAGAAUCUUUCCUCUCAGCUCCCUGAAGGGACACCUAGGUGACCGUCCAGACCCUGGGGCGGCCAGAUAGAAGGGAACCUGACAGCACUGGGCUGCAAGACUCCUAGAAACCCACGGAAGAAAAAGUAAAGAGUUGCCUUUGUGCCCAAGGAUGAGGAUGCUGAGAGUUCUGGGGUUGUGCAUGGCAUUGUGCUGGGCUGUGUGCUCCCCUGGGGCUCAGAUGAAACUGCUUUCCUUCCCCCGUAAAACCUGCUGUCCUGCCUGGCCAGCCUCUGGUGGCGGCUGCAGUCUGUGGAGCAGCCCUGUCUCUUGUCCUUGGGCUUCCCCUGGAGCCCUCGGCCAGCUGCCUGGAGUGUGGUUCCUGCCAGCACCACAUUGGCUCUUGCUGAAAGACGUUGGCAGGGCUGGCAUUCGUGCACACUUGGCAUCUUCUGCGCACUCCGAGACUUUGGAAGCAGGGGAUGUCACCAAGAAAGAGUCAGCAGACGGGAGCUGCAGCCCCGGCCGGAAUGUGAGCCUUUCUGAGCUGGUGUCCUCGUCAGAUGCGUUGUGUGGAGGGCCCCCUCCCUGCACUGUGGACGACUCCGAGCAGGAGGAGAGCUGAGGUGCACCUCUCGGAGUGCUGCCCCACCGAGCCUGACAGCUGCUACCAGGCUGUUGUGGUCGCUUUCCCAGUGCGUGCAUGAGCCCUUUGAAUGCCAGCUGUCGUGCCAAGGCUGUGCCUGUGAUCUUCAGCCCCUGUUCCUAGGAAUAGGACAUCCUCCUGUAGGAAUGAAAUACACUUGUCACUUGAGAUAGUUA